Molecule: non-coding RNA, 74 nt
Organism: Pteropus alecto (black flying fox)
Lineage: Eukaryota; Metazoa; Chordata; Mammalia; Chiroptera; Pteropodidae
Source: Rfam
GGCUCCAUAGUUCAGCGAUUAGCACGUUUGCUUUACACACAGAAGGUCCUGGGUUCCCGCCCCAGAUAGAGCCA